AUUGAACGCUGGCGGCAUGCCUUACACAUGCAAGUCGAACGGCAGCACGGGAGCAAUCCUGGUGGCGAGUGGCGAACGGGUGAGUAAUGUAUCGGAACGUGCCCAGUCGUGGGGGAUAACGCAGCGAAAGCUGUGCUAAUACCGCAUACGAUCUAUGGAUGAAAGCGGGGGAUCGCAAGACCUCGCGCGAUUGGAGCGGCCGAUAUCAGAUUAGGUAGUUGGUGGGGUAAAGGCCCACCAAGCCGACGAUCUGUAGCCGGUCUGAGAGGACGACCAGCCACACUGGGACUGAGACACGGCCCAGACUCCUACGGGAGGCAGCAGUGGGGAAUUUUGGACAAUGGGCGCAAGCCUGAUCCAGCAAUGCCGCGUGCAGGAUGAAGGCCUUCGGGUUGUAAACUGCUUUUGUACGGAGCGAAACGGCUUCCACUAAUACUGGGGGCUAAUGACGGUACCGUAAGAAUAAGCACCGGAUAACUACGUGCCAGCCGCCGCCGUAA
Molecule: ribosomal RNA, 500 nt
Filed under: uncultured bacterium
Lineage: Bacteria
Description: partial 16S ribosomal RNA
Rfam family: Bacterial small subunit ribosomal RNA
Source: RNAcentral